GAUGAAGAAUGCAGCGAAAUGCGAUACGUAAUGUGAAUUGCAAAUUCAGUGAAUCAUCGAGUCUUUGAACGCACAUUGCGCCCCCUGGUAUUCCGGGGGGCAUGCCUGUCCGAGCGUCAUUGCUGCCCUCAAGCACGGCUUGUGUGUUGGGCCCCGUCCUCCGAUCCCGGGGGACGGGCCCGAAAGGCAGCGGCGGCACCGCGUCCGGUCCUCGAGCGUAUGGGGCUUUGUCACCCGCUCUGUAGGCCCGGCCGGCGCUUGCCGAUCAACCCAAAUUUUUAUCCAGGUUGACCUCGGAUCAGGUAGGGAUACCCGCUGAACUUAAGCAUAUCAAUAAGCGGAGGA
This 345-nucleotide unclassified non-coding RNA is filed under the name soil metagenome. RNAcentral's name for it is "partial contains 5.8S ribosomal RNA, internal transcribed spacer 2, and large subunit ribosomal RNA". The stretch from base 1 to 119 matches the Rfam family "5.8S ribosomal RNA", at positions 35 to 154 of the family's 154-position model. The record is from RNAcentral.